AGAUUGAACGCUGGCGGCAUGCCUUACACAUGCAAGUCGAACGGUAACGCGGGGCAACCUGGCGACGAGUGGCGAACGGGUGAGUAAUGCAUCGGAACGUGCCCAGUAGUGGGGGAUAGCCCGGCGAAAGCCGGAUUAAUACCGCAUACGACCUAUGGGUGAAAGCGGGGGACUCGCAAGAGCCUCGCGCUAUUGGAGCGGCCGAUGUCAGAUUAGCUAGUUGGUGGGUAAAAGCCUACCGAAGGCGACGAUCUGUAGCUGGGUCUGAGAGGACGACCAGCCACACUGGGACUGAGACACGGCCCAGACUCCGUACGGGAGGCAGCAGGUGGGGAAUUUUGGACUAAUGGGACGCGAAGCCUGACUCCGACGCCAGUCGCCGUCGUGGACGGGAAGAACGGUCCGUUCGGGUUU
RNAcentral lists this ribosomal RNA (414 nucleotides) under uncultured soil bacterium. RNAcentral describes it as "bacterial SSU rRNA". It matches the Rfam family "Bacterial small subunit ribosomal RNA", at positions 26 to 426 of the family's 1533-position model. The record is from RNAcentral.